This 22-nucleotide microRNA is filed under the name Tribolium castaneum (red flour beetle). RNAcentral's name for it is "tca-miR-14-5p". Its record names the gene tca-miR-14-5p. The record is from miRBase by way of RNAcentral. Lineage: Eukaryota; Metazoa; Arthropoda; Insecta; Coleoptera; Tenebrionidae.
AGGGGAGCGGAUUGGACUUACU